Molecule: long non-coding RNA, 92 nt
Organism: Thalassophryne amazonica
Lineage: Eukaryota; Metazoa; Chordata; Actinopteri; Batrachoidiformes; Batrachoididae
Exons: 3
Source: RefSeq, a predicted model, not a curated record
AUAAAAAGGUUGUUUGGCAAACUUUAAAUGAGCUUCAUCAUGCUUUUUCUUCAGCAUUGGAGUCUUGCGUGGUGAGUGUGCAAACAGGCUAU